Molecule: non-coding RNA, 501 nt
Organism: Arachis ipaensis
Lineage: Eukaryota; Viridiplantae; Streptophyta; Magnoliopsida; Fabales; Fabaceae
Source: RefSeq, a predicted model, not a curated record
AGUUCCCUGUAAUGUGUAUUGCAUUAUAUUCUGUCAUACUUUACAGUUAUGCCAUGCCUACAUCUUGAGAUAGUAUCAAAUGUUACUUUACAAAAUUUACAGAGAAUUUUCACCUUUAAAGAUUGCUUUGUUUUCUGAUUUAUUCUUUCACUUUAUAGUAGGGAUAACUUAAUAUUCUUGCAAAACUGGUUUGUAAAGUUCCCACACUACAGAAACAGAAGUUUGUUCAUAAUAGGAGAAAGCUAUGCUGGACACUAUGUUCCUCAACUUGCUGAGCUUAUGCUAGAAUUCAACAAAAAAGAGAAGUUGUUCAAUUUAAAAGGCAUUGCUGAAGACAUGAUGUGAUGAAGAAAAUAUGUUCCAUACAAAUAUCACAUGAGAUGGGUCUUACUACCUUAGUUAUGUAAAUGUAAUAUUUUGAUGUGUUAUGUACUUUUUGAGGAAUUACAUGUAAUUGGAAAAAUUCCACUCUAUUUUGAUUUGUGUUGUUUAGACUAAAAA